RNAcentral lists this long non-coding RNA (416 nucleotides) under Polistes fuscatus (common paper wasp). RNAcentral's name for it is "uncharacterized LOC122517097". Lineage: Eukaryota; Metazoa; Arthropoda; Insecta; Hymenoptera; Vespidae. The record is from RNAcentral.
CUUCUCUAUACAUCUCAUCCUCCUCGUCUUCAUACUCUUCUUCUUCUUCUUCUUCUUACCCUAUACACGACGUAUGUACAACGUAGAGUCCCGACUCGGACAAGGCGUAGGAUCGUCGUCGUAAACGAGUGUGCAGAUUGAAAAGGCCUUUUAACGGGCACCGUUACGCGUCUCGAUGGACGACGGUAAGGUGCAAGACGAACGAUUCACGACCUAAGACCUCGAAUUUCAAGGAUAGUUUGACAUUAAACCGGGAUUCUAGACAGCAAGUUCGAUUCCGAGGCAAUCCCGGCCAAUCCGGGUCGGUUGGCAACCCUAAUCGAGAGAGUACAAUGCACAUGCGGAGGCUGCCCUUUUGGUGUUUCAUGAACAAAUGGCUGGCACCCCAGAAAAAAGAAAAAAGAACAAAAAUAAAA